GGAAAUCACGGGUUUACGUU
RNAcentral lists this small nuclear RNA (20 nucleotides) under Arabidopsis thaliana (thale cress). RNAcentral describes it as "snRNA_12653". The record is from RNAcentral. Lineage: Eukaryota; Viridiplantae; Streptophyta; Magnoliopsida; Brassicales; Brassicaceae.